GGUAGAAAAUUAGAAAAUCUUAGUUUGCCUGUCAAUGCAUAGUGUUUUGCUGCCAUGGGCGGCAGCAAAAGUCUUAAUGCCCCAUGGACGUCAUCGUGCCAUAACUGGCGCGAGUUUAAGACGUGCACGUCACUCCGAGAAAAUUUAAAUCAGGCAGACUUAGAUUUUCUUAUUUUCGGAC
RNAcentral lists this non-coding RNA (181 nucleotides) under uncultured Roseburia sp. Lineage: Bacteria; Bacillati; Bacillota; Clostridia; Lachnospirales; Lachnospiraceae. The record is from RNAcentral.